UACGAAGGGGGCUAGCGUUGCUCGGAAUGACUGGGCGUAAAGGGCGCGUAGGCGGCGCAUUUAGUCAGGCGUGAAAUUCCUGGGCUCAACCUGGGGACUGCGCUUGAUACGGGUGUGCUUGAGGAUGGAAGAGGCUCGCGGAAUUCCCAGUGUAGAGGUGAAAUUCGUAGAUAUCGGGAGGAACACCAGUGGCGAAGGCGGCGACCUGGGCCAAUAUUGACGCUGAGGUGCGAAAGCAUGGGGAGCAAACAGG
Molecule: ribosomal RNA, 253 nt
Filed under: uncultured bacterium
Lineage: Bacteria
Description: partial 16S ribosomal RNA
Rfam family: Bacterial small subunit ribosomal RNA
Source: RNAcentral